CCAAUCCACCGGAGCCUGACCUUCUGACCGCCGAGCGUUGCAUCAAUGCAGCGAGUACUUCCGCACCGGCUUAAAGCGACAGGAGCCACACACUAAGAAGUCCGGUCAAACUUCCGCUUUGAUAAAAUAAAAUGUCGACUGGAAACACGUUCCUUACGUUUAGCUGAAGUUCCAAGGUAGGGUCAGCUUUUUCUUUUCAAUGUUAUAUUAUUGUGUCUUCAUCUAUACUUUAUUUUUCUUGGAAUCUUAGCCUCCUCCCAACUUCUUAACUUUUUCAUAUUACAAAAACUCCAACACUGGUCAUAAAAAUUUAAACGUAAAAACAUUUUUAAAAAAAACCUCUCCUCAGCCAUCAAAAUAACUUGUGUAAAUACAUCCCCAUUAACCCCACAAGCAGCAGCUACUUUGGGCUUCAACGUUAUCACAGAAGUUACCUCUAAGUGUUUGAUUAGGUAAGUUUGUAGCUGCAACAGUUAAUUAAAACAAUCAGCAAUUCACAAACCAGAGGCCAUAAAGAAACCAAUAAA
Molecule: long non-coding RNA, 527 nt
Organism: Oreochromis niloticus (Nile tilapia)
Lineage: Eukaryota; Metazoa; Chordata; Actinopteri; Cichliformes; Cichlidae
Exons: 2
Source: RefSeq, a predicted model, not a curated record